This 500-nucleotide ribosomal RNA is filed under the name Mrakia frigida. Its description in RNAcentral is "partial large subunit ribosomal RNA". It matches the Rfam family "Eukaryotic large subunit ribosomal RNA", at positions 42 to 545 of the family's 3401-position model. Lineage: Eukaryota; Fungi; Basidiomycota; Tremellomycetes; Cystofilobasidiales; Mrakiaceae. The record is from RNAcentral.
AUCAAUAAGCGGAGGAAAAGAAACUAACAAGGAUUCCCCUAGUAACGGCGAGUGAAGCGGGAUGAGCUCAAAUUUAAAAUCUGGCGGCCUCAGGUCGUCCGAGUUGUAGUCUAGAGAAUCGUUUUCCGCGUUGGCCUGUGUACAAGUCCCUUGGAACAGGGCGUCAUAGAGGGUGAGAAUCCCGUCCUUGACACAGACUACCAAUGCUUUGUGAUGCGAUCUCGAAGAGUCGAGUUGUUUGGGAAUGCAGCUCAAAAUGGGUGGUAAAUUCCAUCUAAAGCUAAAUAUUGGCGAGAGACCGAUAGCGAACAAGUACCGUGAGGGAAAGAUGAAAAGCACUUUGGAAAGAGAGUUAAACAGUACGUGAAAUUGUUAAAAGGGAAACGAUUGAAGUCAGUCAUGCUUUCCGAGACUCAGCCGAUUCUGUCGGUGUACUUCUCGGUUGGCAGGCCAGCAUCAGUUUCGAUCUGUGGAAAAGGUUGGAGGGAACGUGGCAUCCU